This is a long non-coding RNA of Equus caballus (horse), 1555 nucleotides long. NCBI's taxonomy places the organism in Eukaryota, Metazoa, Chordata, Mammalia, Perissodactyla, Equidae. The record is from Ensembl.
AAGGACCAAGAGUUGUGGAAGGGGUUCCUGGAUCAUCUCUAUAAAUCUGUUCCAGUCAUCCAGACAGCAGGAUGACUAAAAGUGUUCCUUUCCUGUUGUUGUAAAGGCUGCUGUCUAGUUGAGUUGCUUCACUAGCAAGAACAGUCAGUGUCAUUAAUUUUUUCCCUGUACCGUGUGGGCUGUGGAACAUGGAACCGACUUGAUUGAUCACAUUGCCACUUCAGAACGGGAGCCUUCGGAGGCAGUCCAGUGUUUCUCAAACUCCAGUGUGCUUAAGAAUCUCCUGGGGAUCUUGCUGAAAUGCAGAUACUGAUUCAACCUAUCCACGGAGGAGCCUGAAAUUCUGCGUUUCUAACAAGCUACCAGGUGGUGCUGAAGCUGCAGGUGUAUGAACCACACUUUGAGUGGAAAGGUUUUAGUCCAUGUGAAUGCUGCCUGCACAAAGCCUCUGGAGCCAUUCUAGUUUCAAGUAGACUUCGAAGUUCUGCCUGCCUCUCUGUUUCUGCCAGGAUUUGUGGACACUGUUUCCUUACCGUUUCUGGCCAAGGCCCAUUAUAUAUGAGUACUGUGUGUGUUUUUUCUCCAAAGAUGGGGUCUACUUGCACACUAUAAAGCCCAUAUUUGGGCUUCUUAUAGCGACACAUCCUUUCCUCAGAGUGUGCUAACACAGCUGGUGGUGGAGCCCUAAGUACAAACCUGUUUCAGGAAAGAAAUUCAUCUUGUUAGAGGGAGCCGAGCUACUUACAAGGCAGAUAACGUUCUGCAGCUUGCUGAAUUGAUGGAGAGAGGCACCGGGAUUCAGGCUCACCUAUUUUUCAUUCUUUGAAUGAAGUCUAUCUUCUGAAUUACAUGAGCCACGUGAAGCAGGGAAAGAGAGCAAUGGUUCUGGAAACAAAAAACAGAGUUCUUAUCUUUUAAUACAGAAGAGAAUGCCUCGGGAUAUUAUUAUUUGUGAUUUAUGGAGCACGUAGCAAUAUGACCAGUGUCUCACCAUAGCAGACAGAAGACUCUGACCCUCUGCCUUUGAUGAACUCUUUUAGCUUCCCAGGGGCAAUUUCCCACUGGAGAAUAGCUGCUGCAUUACAGAAUUCUGGCUUAAAAAAUCAUACUGAAUGAGCUGCUAGAAAGCUUGGAUUCUGUUUCCAGUCCUACCACUGGCUCACUCUGACUUUGUCCAAAUUUCUUGAAUCUUCUGACCUGUUGGUAAGUCAGGUUAAUCGCACUUGAUAUCCAUAUUUGCUUGUGAAAUAUCUCGAGAUGUUUGUCAGCUAAAUUAGUCUCAAGCAUUUGUGAAAACUCACUUUUCUUUAAGACAUAUCAGCUUUCACUGACAAGAUCAAACUAUGUCAAUGAAUAAAACCAACUAAACAAACAAAACAGAGUAGAGGACCAGAGCAUCAUUUGUAAGAAAGGAGUGGAAGAGAAGGCAAGUUUCCUUCCUCUCUCUGUCCCUUUCUCCCUUCUGGAUUUUUAAAAACUUUAUUUUGAAAUAAUUUUGGAUUUAUGGAAAAGUUGCAAGAAUAGUAUAAAGAAUUCCUGUAUAAGUUCCACCCAG